Molecule: small RNA, 203 nt
Filed under: Phycicoccus sp. Root563
Lineage: Bacteria; Bacillati; Actinomycetota; Actinomycetes; Micrococcales; Intrasporangiaceae
Description: Actinobacteria sRNA Ms_IGR-5
Rfam family: Actinobacteria sRNA Ms_IGR-5
Source: Rfam by way of RNAcentral
ACACGGAAGGGAGGUGGUCCAGGAAUUGAUUUCAUAUUGGACGCGUGAGGUGACUGCGCGCUAGGUGCGCAACGUCGACUGCUUCGACGGCGCAUCCUGCGCAAUCCCAAGCAGUUCACCGCAGCCCGCGGGCCGUGCAGGUCGUCCCCUGCACAUGUCGAGCCGCUCGAAUUCGGCGAGGCGAGGCCCGCGGGCUGUUCCAU